RNAcentral lists this transfer RNA (74 nucleotides) under Danio rerio (zebrafish). RNAcentral describes it as "tRNA-Ile (TAT) (tRNA-Ile-TAT-9-1, tRNA-Ile-TAT-9-2)". It matches the Rfam family "tRNA". Rfam says of the family: Transfer RNA (tRNA) molecules are approximately 80 nucleotides in length. Their secondary structure includes four short double-helical elements and three loops (D, anti-codon, and T loops). The record is from RNAcentral. Lineage: Eukaryota; Metazoa; Chordata; Actinopteri; Cypriniformes; Danionidae.
GCUCCAGUGGCGCAAUCGGUCAGCGCGCGGUACUUAUAAUGCCGAGGUUGUGAGUUCGAGUCUCACCUGGAGCA